Molecule: microRNA, 23 nt
Filed under: Euprymna scolopes
Lineage: Eukaryota; Metazoa; Mollusca; Cephalopoda; Sepiida; Sepiolidae
Also listed under: 3 other names
Description: Esc-Mir-12503_5p (mature (guide))
Source: RNAcentral
UGAACCAUGGUUAAUGAACAUUG